RNAcentral lists this ribosomal RNA (460 nucleotides) under uncultured bacterium. Its description in RNAcentral is "partial 16S ribosomal RNA". It matches the Rfam family "Bacterial small subunit ribosomal RNA", at positions 338 to 795 of the family's 1533-position model. The record is from RNAcentral.
CCUACGGGAGGCAGCAGUGAGGAAUAUUGGUCAAUGGCCGUAAGGCUGAACCAGCCAAGUCGCGUGAAGGAAGAAGGAUCUAUGGUUUGUAAACUUUUUUUAUGGGGGAAUAAAGGUAUCAGUGUGUGGAUAUUCGCAUGUACCCUAUGAAUAAGCAUCGGCUAAAUCCGUUCCAGCCGCCGCGGUAAUACGGAGGAGGCGAGCGUUGUCCGGAUUUAUUGGGUGUAAGGGGUGCGUAGGUUGUUUUUUAAGUCAGCGGUGAAAGUUUGUGGCUCAACCAUAAAAUUGCCGUUGAAACUGGAAGACUUGAGUGUGUUUGAGGUAGGCGGAAUGCGAGGUGUAGCGGUGAAAUGCAUAGAUAUCACGCAGAACUCCGAUUGCGAAGGCAGCUUACUGGGCCAUAACUGACACUGAAGCACGAAAGCGUGGGGAUCAAACAGGAUUAGAUACCCGAGUAGUC